Molecule: unclassified non-coding RNA, 294 nt
Filed under: Hevea brasiliensis (rubber tree)
Lineage: Eukaryota; Viridiplantae; Streptophyta; Magnoliopsida; Malpighiales; Euphorbiaceae
Source: RNAcentral
AAGAAAUCAAUUGAAUUGAAUUCAAUUGAAUUGAAGUUAAAAUUCUAGUUUUCAAACGGUAUAGAUGCCAUUGCAUGAAAACCAUAUUCCCUGUAUAAAAAAAAAAAGGUUUUUUACUCCUUUGGAACCUCAUUCCCUUGUUAAUGGCAUGAUGAUUAAAGUGGAGAUGUGUUGUACUUGGUGAAGCCUCAAUCUUGUAAUGUAAUGAUGAUUGCCAUAAAUGCACAAGUGCUCUAUUGGUUGUUUGAGUUUGACCUUGUAUCACUAUAGGUGCCUGGUUUUUCUUCACUGCGU